This 514-nucleotide ribosomal RNA is filed under the name bacterium W09. RNAcentral's name for it is "bacterial SSU rRNA". It matches the Rfam family "Bacterial small subunit ribosomal RNA", at positions 40 to 567 of the family's 1533-position model. The record is from RNAcentral.
CGGGUGCUUACACAUGCAAGUCGAACGAUGAUCAGGAGCUUGCUCCUGUGAUUAGUGGCGAACGGGUGAGUAACACGUGAGUAACCUGCCCCUGACUCUGGGAUAAGCGUUGGAAACGACGUCUAAUACUGGAUAUGACGGCCGAUCGCAUGGUCUGGUCGUGGAAAGAAUUUUGGUUGGGGAUGGACUCGCGGCCUAUCAGGUAGUUGGUGAGGUAAUGGCUCACCAAGCCGACGACGGGUAGCCGGCCUGAGAGGGUGACCGGCCACACUGGGACUGAGACACGGCCAGACUCCUACGGGAGGCAGCAGUGGGGAAUAUUGCACAAUGGGCGCAAGCCUGAUGCAGCAACGCCGCGUGAGGGAUGACGGCCUUCGGGUUGUAAACCUCUUUUAGUAGGAAGAAGCGCAAAGUGACGGUACCUGCAGAAAAAGCACCGGCUAACUACGUGACAGACAGCGCGGUAAUACGUAGGGUGCAAAGCGUUGAUCACGGAAUUAUUGGGGUAAAAGAG